GACAGAGGCCCCAAGCGUUAGGCGGAAUCACUGGGCUUAAAGCGUGUGUAGGCGGACGCCUAAGUGUCUUGUGAAAUCCCACGGCUCACCCGUGGAACUGCUGGGCAUACUGGGCGUCUUGGGCCAACUAGGGGCAGCCGGAACAAGCGGUGGAGCGGUGAAAUGCGUAGAUAUCGCUUGGAACGCCGAAGGUGAAAACAGGCUGCUGGGGUUGCGCCGACGCGUGAGACCACGAAAAGCCAGGGGAGCAAACGGG
This 256-nucleotide ribosomal RNA is filed under the name uncultured bacterium. RNAcentral describes it as "partial 16S ribosomal RNA". It matches the Rfam family "Bacterial small subunit ribosomal RNA", at positions 524 to 776 of the family's 1533-position model. The record is from RNAcentral.